Long non-coding RNA from Oncorhynchus tshawytscha (Chinook salmon), 958 nucleotides. The record is from Ensembl. Lineage: Eukaryota; Metazoa; Chordata; Actinopteri; Salmoniformes; Salmonidae.
UUUUUAGGAGUACUGGAGCUGAGGUGCAGGCGUAGAACUAUUUUUUAGGAGUACUGGAGCUGAGGUGCAGGUGUAGAACUAUUUUUUAGGAGUACUGGAGCUGAGGUGCAGGUGUAGAACUAUUUUUUAGGAGUACUGGAGCUGAGGUGCAGGUGUAGAACUGUUUUUUAAGAGUACUUGAGCUGAGGUGCAGGCGUAGAACAGUUGUUUAGGAGUACUGGAGCUGAGGUGCAGGGGUAGACCUGGUUUUUAGGAGUACUGGAGCUGAGGUGCAGGGGUAGACCUGGUUUACAGUUUAUACGUUUUCAGGCCUCGGCACAUUUAGACCUGGCUUAGUUAACUAAUUGGGUUCAAGCACAGGUGCAGACUUUGUAGGUAUGUACAUUGGAGCUGAAGUACUGGUGUUGACCUGUUCUGUAGGAAUAUUGGGUCUGAAGUAUAGACUUCGUUUGUAUACAUGUUGAGGCUUGGGCACUGGGGUAGACCUGUUUUAUAUGAGUAUGCCCAUGGAUGUACCUGGUUUAUAUGAGUAAUGUGGUGUAGGGAUACACAAGACUCAUACAGGUAAUGGGUUUGGAUGGAUCUAUUGCCCAUUCAUAUUCUUUCUGGCAACAAGUUUGUGGUAGGAAAAAAGCUGAUGGGUCUGGGGCAUAUUUGUUAUGGCACUGUACUAUAAAUGUAUCUGUGAAAUAAUUAGUGUAUACAGGUCAGUGGUCAUAGGACUAAGAUAUGCAAAUAACAGGGUUAGAUUGUGCAGCGAAUAGCUGGAUAUAGGUUACUGUUGGUGACUUGGGGAAUACAGGACUAAGGAAAGUGGGUAACAGGUCUGACAUGAGCAAGUAACAGGGAUGAAGUGUACUGGCAAAGGAACUGUGGUCUAUGAAUAACAAAUAGUGCAUUUAGAACUAGGAUAUAGGUGUAUUGGUACUUGAUUGUAUCAAUAUUAGGGUAUUGGCAU